CAGUAGCCGCGGUAAUACGAAAGGUCCAAGCGUUACUCGGAAUUACUGGGCGUAAAGCGCGCGUAGGCGGUUUUGUAUGUCGAUUGUGAAAGCCCCGGGCUCAACCUGGGAACUGCAGUCGAAACUGCAAGACUUGAAUGUUGGAGAGGUUGGGGGAAUACCUAGUGGAGAAGUGAAAUUCGUAGAGAUUAGGUGGAACACCAGAGGCGAAGGCGCCUGACUGGCCAAACAUUGACGCUAAGGCGCGAAAGCGUGGGUAGCAAACAGGAUUAGAUACCCGCGUAGUCCCUGUCUCUUAUAA
Molecule: ribosomal RNA, 301 nt
Filed under: uncultured bacterium
Lineage: Bacteria
Description: partial 16S ribosomal RNA
Rfam family: Bacterial small subunit ribosomal RNA
Source: RNAcentral